Molecule: long non-coding RNA, 1321 nt
Filed under: Callithrix jacchus (white-tufted-ear marmoset)
Lineage: Eukaryota; Metazoa; Chordata; Mammalia; Primates; Cebidae
Description: lncRNA (ENSCJAG00000079914.1)
Source: RNAcentral
GAGGUGGAUGGAUCAUGAGGUCAGGAGAUGGAGACCAUCCUGGCCAACAUGGUGAAACCCCAUGUCUACUAAAAAUACAAAAAUUAGCCAGGCAUGGUGGCGCAUGCCUGUAAUCCCAGCUAGUUGGGGGGCUGAGGCAGGAGGAUCACUUGAACCUGGGAGUCAGAGGUUGUAGAGAACUGAGAUCACACCACUGCACUCCAGCCUGGCAACAGAAAGAGGAUCCAUCUCAAAAAAAAAAAGAAAAGACAUUUGAAUUUAACUUCAUGUCAUAGUUUUUAUUUCCCCUUUUCUAUCAUGAUCUUUGCUACUUAUAAUUUUUUCUUCUUCCCAAGGUCUUGGACAACCAUCACUGAAGUCCACCAUGUCCCCAAAUUUACAUUUCUUUAUCUUACUCACAUUCUUGGCAAGGUUAGUCACCACUCACCACUCAAUCUUUCUUAAAACACAACCUUAAUUUUUGUGACUUUACAUUUUGCUGUUUUUCAUCGUUAUCAUGAACCAUCUCCUCCAAGUCUGUUUCUGCAUACCCUACCCCCGUUCAGUUCAAUUUUGCAAAGUUGGAGUACCCCAAGCAUCACUGUUCUCCGUCUAUAGUAUUUUCCAGGUGAGCUCUUAUAUAUUCCCAUGGUUUUGACUACCACUCAUGUGGUAGACUCUCAUGUUUGUAUCUCCAUCCUGAGUAUUCCAUUGAGCUCUAAACUCUAAACUAUAUUAACUGUAAUUCUAUUCUGAAAUAUCUAAUCAUGUAAUCAUCUUAUUAACCAGUUGCAAUCAUCAUUAUCACUUGCAGGAAUGUUCUGCUCUCCAACCUGUUUGCUUUGCUUUCACAAAAAAUUCCAACUAUCUCCUGAAACAUAAAUCUUCUCAUGUUAUAUAACACAUACCCAAUACACACACACUUAAAACCCAUCAUGUGCUUCUCUUUGCACCUAGAAUAAAAUCUAAAGCCCUUACCACUACCUACAAGAACCAAAGACAUCACCUAGCUCCACCUUUCCAGACUGAGGACCUAUCACUCUCUCCCCAGCUCUUUACACUCCAGCCCCAGUAGCUUUGUUUUUAUGCUUCAAGCCCAUUGUUAUGAACUGGAUGUUGUGUCCCCUCAAAAUUCCUAUGUUGAAGCCUAAAAUCUUCAUUAUGAUGACAUUUGGAGGUGAGGCCUUGGGGAGGUAAUUAGGUCCUGAAGGUGGAGUCCUCAUGAAUGGGAGAUGCAUGCCCUUAUAAAAAGAGACAGGAAGAUAAUCCCUGUUUCUUCUCUGUAAAGACGCAGCAAAAAGGCAUUCAUCUGUAAACAAGGAAGAGAGUCUGUUGAGGAGAA